UCCGUAGGUGAACCUGCGGAAGGAUCAUUGACACACUAGAAAAUUAUAUACACUUUUAUGAAAAUGUUUUGUCUAUUAUUGUUUUAAACCAACCUUUAUUUUAAAUCAUUCUUAAUUCAAAGUGAUUCAUUAUCACUUUCAAUAAAAUCAACCUAGUUAUAACUGUUAACAACGGAUAUCUAGGCUCUUACAACGAUGAAGAACGCAGCAAAAUGCGAUACGUAAUGUGAAUUGCAGAUUUCAGUGAAUCAUCCAAUCUUUGAACGCAACUUGCGCUUAAAAUCAAUCAUUUUAAGCACACUUGUUUGAGUGUCGGUUUAUAACACACUUCUUAGUGUUUGAGUUUCAACCUGUAUUGGUCGUUACUUUAAAACUAUGCUAUGAUAUUUGAUUAUCUUUCACUUCUUAGUAUUUCUUUGAUCUGUAAUAGAUAACUCUUUUAUCAUUCAUUCCUCUCAAUUUCUCGACCUCAAAUCAAGUGAGAUUACCGGCUGAACUUAA
RNAcentral lists this ribosomal RNA (501 nucleotides) under uncultured fungus. RNAcentral's name for it is "eukaryotic LSU rRNA". The stretch from base 161 to 315 matches the Rfam family "5.8S ribosomal RNA". Lineage: Eukaryota; Fungi. The record is from RNAcentral.